UUUUCAGGUUUUGAUGAUGAACAAAAUAAAAUAGAUCAAUAAGUAAUAAUAAUAAAUAACUAAUUUGCAUUAAUUGAUCAGUCUCAUAAAUCGAGGGUUGUAAUUAAUAGUUUGAAGUUCCCGCCUUCUUUUGUGGAAGUGCGGCUAUGUUUAUUUGUGCUUUAGAACCAAACUGUACAGGAAUACAUUUUCAUAUAAUUCACCCAUUUAAACUAUAUUAAAGCCUGUGAACACCCACACAGGUGUUUGCAGUUAAUUUUUGAUUAGACCUCUUCUUGGGACUGUGUGGGCGUGUAGACUGUCAUUGACUGAUAUCUUCCUUUGUUGCAUCUCUUAGAGUGGGACGAAUUACACUUUAUUGUUCUUAUUAAAGAAUCGAGAAUUGUGACGUAAUAAAUGUCCAUUAAAGCUCCAGCCCAACUUCAACCUGAGCCAGAAUAACUGAAAACACCUGUGUGGGUGUUCAGAGGCUUUAAGGUUUAUAGUUAUGCAUAAUAAAGGUUGUGGUCGCUUUGAGUGACAGGUGGGGAGUCGGUCAAGAUGUUGAUGGCUAGAGCCGAUCACACUGAGCUUCACAACAUCUGUGUAGAACAAUCAGAGAAUGACUUUUUAUGUUUCUGAUUCACUCUCUUUGUUCUCAGCACUCGUUACAGCCCUAUUUAAUUCAGUAUUCUCACGUGUUUGCUUUAUAAAUGUUAGUUCAAAUGAUAAAUGUUCCUCUUUUCUCACAGAUUACACCUUUGCCAUUGCAUGGCCCAUGGUAGUGGCCUGUUCAUAUUCUUCUGUCAUCAUCUAUGUCUCCAUGAUACUCUACAGUGAAAGCAGGUAACAAACAUCUUCAGCUGAUGACAACUGAUACCUGAGGAAAAAGCCGGAGGAGCCGGAGAUCAAACCGUCAGAUUUCUGCUCAACCCUCCUGAGCCACAGCCGGUGUGUUGGAGGAAACAUGUUUUCUAUUUGUGAGAAAAUGUAAAAAAUAAACACUGGCAUUUACUGCAUCACCACGGCAACAGAGUUCCACGAAAUGUUCAUAACAUAUCGUCAAUGUGUGAAGAGUUCAGCUGGAUGUGGUCAGUCGACAAGGAGAAGCACAAGGAAGUUUAAAACUUCCUGUUUCCAGUAGGGGGCGCUAUGAGUACGACUGAGUAUUGGCAAGUCGACAUGUUCAGGACGGGAAUCGAUCAGACUCCAUCUGAUCGAUUCCCUGGAGGAGUUUGGGGUCCGUGACCUAAACAAGAAAAGCAUUAAAGCUCAAAGAAUAAAAGAUAUAAGAAAGAUAAAAUAAUAUUUAAGGGCUGUCUUCUAAUAAUUUAAAGACUUUAAAAUGUAUUUUUGUUGUUUUCUUUCACAAACAUUCCUGAGAUUAUAUACAAAGGUUUUGAAUGAAGAUGUUUUCUACAAUAAAUAAAGUAUUCCAACAAAAA
Morone saxatilis (striped sea-bass) is the source of this 1424-nucleotide long non-coding RNA. RefSeq lists it as uncharacterized. The record is from RefSeq and is a predicted model, not a curated record. NCBI's taxonomy places the organism in Eukaryota, Metazoa, Chordata, Actinopteri, Moronidae. The transcript is spliced from 2 exons.